AUUGAACGCUGGCGGCAGGCCUAACACAUGCAAGUCGAACGGUAACAGGAAGAAGCUUGCUUCUUUGCUGACGAGUGGCGGACGGGUGAGUAAUGUCUGGGAAACUGCCUGAUGGAGGGGGAUAACUACUGGAAACGGUAGCUAAUACCGCAUAACGUCGCAAGACCAAAGAGGGGGACCUUCGGGCCUCUUGCCAUCGGAUGUGCCCAGAUGGGAUUAGCUAGUAGGUGGGGUAACGGCUCACCUAGGCGACGAUCCCUAGCUGGUCUGAGAGGAUGACCAGCCACACUGGAACUGAGACAUGGUCCAGACUCCUACGGGAGGCAGCAGUGGGGAAUAUUGCACAAAGGGCGCAAGCCUGAUGCAGCCAUGCCGCGUGUAUGAAGAAGGCCUUCGGGUUGUAAAGUACUUUCAGCGGGGAGGAAGGGAGUAAAGUUAAUACCUUUGCUCAUUGACGUUACCCGCAGAAGAAGCACCGGCUAACUCCGUG
RNAcentral lists this ribosomal RNA (490 nucleotides) under uncultured bacterium. RNAcentral describes it as "partial 16S ribosomal RNA". It matches the Rfam family "Bacterial small subunit ribosomal RNA", at positions 30 to 507 of the family's 1533-position model. The record is from RNAcentral.